This 322-nucleotide ribosomal RNA is filed under the name uncultured bacterium. RNAcentral describes it as "bacterial SSU rRNA". It matches the Rfam family "Bacterial small subunit ribosomal RNA", at positions 8 to 334 of the family's 1533-position model. The record is from RNAcentral.
AGAGUUCGAUUCUGGCUCAGGAUGAACGCUGGCGGCGUGCCUAAUACAUGCAAGUCGAACGCAUCACUUUGGUGAUGAGUGGCGAACGGGUGAGUAAUACAUAAGUAACCUGGCCCAUACAGGGGGAUAACUGCUGGAAACGGCAGCUAAGACCGCAUAUGUGUAGAGAUCGCAUGAACUCUAUAUGAAAAGUGCUACGGCACUGGUAAGGGAUGGACUUAUGGCGCAUUAGCUAGUUGGCAGGGUAAAGGCCUACCAAGGCGACGAUGCGUAGCCGACCUGAGAGGGUGACCGGCCACACUGGGACUGAGACACGGCCCAG